This 630-nucleotide ribosomal RNA is filed under the name Triticum aestivum (bread wheat). RNAcentral's name for it is "partial small subunit ribosomal RNA". Lineage: Eukaryota; Viridiplantae; Streptophyta; Magnoliopsida; Poales; Poaceae. The record is from RNAcentral.
AUGAUCCCACUAUUUUGGAGGAUGUUGAAUCUUAUUGUGAUAUAUAUAUAUGAAAGUGGAUUUGGAAGAGUGUCAACUUUAUUUAGUGAUGAUUCCACUAUUUCGGAAGAGGUUCCAAUUGAUUAUGAGAACAAAGUUGCUAUCUAUGAUGAUUAUUGUGAUGACUUGUAUGCUAUUAGGAAUAAUGAUAACCAUGAAACUUGUCAUCAUGAUUUUAGUUUUCAAUUGGAUUAUGCCUCACAUGAUAAUUAUUUUGUUGAGUUUGCUCCCACUACUAUUCAUGAGAAGAAAUUUGCUUAUGUGGAGAGUAGUAAAUUUUCUAUGCUUGUAGAUCAUGAAAAGAAUGCUUUAGGUGCUGGUUAUAUUGUUGAAUUCAUUUAUGAUGCUACUGAAAAUUAUUAUGAUGGAGGAACAUAUGCUUGUAGGAAUUGCAAUAAUAUCAAGUUUCCUCUCUAUGUGUUAAAUUUUUUGAAGCUAUGCUUGUUUUACCUUCCUAUGCUAGUUGAUUAUUGUUCCCAUAAGUUGUUUGCUCACAAAAUCCCUAUGCAUAGGAAGUGGGUUAGACUUAAAUGGGCUAGUAAUAUUCUUCAUGAUGCUCUCCUUAUGUCUCAAUUCUUAUCCUUUAUGUGA